This 374-nucleotide ribosomal RNA is filed under the name uncultured Bacillus sp. Its description in RNAcentral is "bacterial SSU rRNA". It matches the Rfam family "Bacterial small subunit ribosomal RNA", at positions 955 to 1330 of the family's 1533-position model. The record is from RNAcentral. Lineage: Bacteria; Bacillati; Bacillota; Bacilli; Caryophanales; Bacillaceae.
AUUAACGCGAAGAACCUUACCAGGUCUUGACAUCCUCUGACAAUCCUAGAGAUAGGACGUCCCCUUCGGGGGCAGAGUGACAGGUGGUGCAUGGUUGUCGACAGCUCGUGUCGUGAGAUGUUGGGUUAAGUCCCGCAACGAGCGCAACCCUUGAUCUUAGUUGCCAGCAUUCAGUUGGGCACUCUAAGGUGACUGCCGGUGACAAACCGGAGGAAGGUGGGGAUGACGUCAAAUCAUCAUGCCCCUUAUGACCUGGGCUACACACGUGCUACAAUGGACAGAACAAAGGGCAGCGAAACCGCGAGGUUAAGCCAAUCCCACAAAUCUGUUCUCAGUUCGGAUCGCAGUCUGCAACUCGACUGCGUGAAGCUGGA